RNAcentral lists this unclassified non-coding RNA (332 nucleotides) under soil metagenome. RNAcentral's name for it is "partial contains 5.8S ribosomal RNA, internal transcribed spacer 2, and large subunit ribosomal RNA". The stretch from base 1 to 120 matches the Rfam family "5.8S ribosomal RNA", at positions 35 to 154 of the family's 154-position model. The record is from RNAcentral.
GAUGAAGAACGUAGCGAAAUGCGAUAAGUAAUGUGAAUUGCAGAAUUCAGUGAACCAUCGAAUAUUUGAACGCGCAUUGCGCCCUUUGGUAUUCCUUAGGGCAUGCCUGUUCGAGCGUCAUUUAAACCUUCAAGCUAAGCUUGGUGUUGGGUGACUGUCCGCUUCACGGCGGACUCGCCUCAAAAUUAUUGGCGGCCGGUACAUUGGCUUCGAGCGCAGCAGAAACGCGAACUCGGGCCCGUCGUAUUGGCUCCCAGAAGCUAUCUUCACAAUUUUGACCUCGGAUCAGGUAGGGAUACCCGCUGAACUUAAGCAUAUCAAUAAGCGGAGGA